This 27-nucleotide unclassified non-coding RNA is filed under the name Mus musculus (house mouse). Its description in RNAcentral is "oocyte_clustered_small_RNA6691". The record is from RNAcentral. Lineage: Eukaryota; Metazoa; Chordata; Mammalia; Rodentia; Muridae.
UGUCUAUGCAUGGAGUCCUGGAUUAGA